Oryzias melastigma (Indian medaka) is the source of this 1196-nucleotide long non-coding RNA. RefSeq lists it as uncharacterized. Lineage: Eukaryota; Metazoa; Chordata; Actinopteri; Beloniformes; Adrianichthyidae. The transcript is spliced from 2 exons. The record is from RefSeq and is a predicted model, not a curated record.
AAGCUAGGAAAAUACAAAAUUGUCGUUAUCACGAACAUUACGAGACAGUUCUAAGUCAGAAAAACAUUUGGGCUUGAAGAUAAUUAUUCGCGGCUAGAGCCGGGAACCAUAGCCGGGAACGCACAGGGCAGGCGACGCCACUGGUCAGCGGAGUGAGCUCUGAUUUGCUUGUGCUACACCGACGCCAUCUUGGUCGCCGCUCCGAGUCCGAGUUCGCUCACCAGAAUUAACCGUAUGUUGGCCUUUUCUCUCCGCCCUUCUGCUGCAUGAGAUUGCCUGGACUGUAAUCCCAGAUUACUGGGUCGUCUACUACUUGAGGAAUCAGACAGAUCAGUCCAACUUUUUCAGGUUGUUAAAACUUUGUUUUUGUUUUAUUUAUUUAUUUAUUAAAUAUAUGAGAACAUAAAAAAGCCUCAACACUUUCCACUUAUUAAAAUAAUUUUGAAGUCAUUUUAAUUGUGUGUGCAUUUCAUGUUAACACCCAUAAUCCUUCACUGUUAUAGUCCAAAAACAGCACAGCCAGAUCUUUGACUUGGAUUACGUGGCUAUAAAUAUGGGUGAAAAUACGGAGUGAGACCGGGGUUUAGCUCGUCUCGUUUGUGUUAAUUACUCUCUGAUUAACUAACCAAAAUGAUGUUGAAGAUGAAACUUUGAAUUUUACAUGUUUUUCAAACCAACAAAGACUACCACAACUUAAAGCCACAAAGUUACGCAAAAAAAGACUUACUUUGAUUAUGUUUUGAUCUACUGUUAAAUCUUUCCCAGUGGUCUUCAAAUUAUAAUUAUGCUGUUUCUAGCCAAAAUAAAAAAAACCUGCAUCAUUUUAUUAGACCUAGUUUCUGCAGCGCGGCAGGACAUCAUUAGAAAUUCACCUUGCGACUGUUGGCACAGCCUGCCCCAAUUCCCGUCACCCAUCUGUUUACACCCUCUCUCACAGCCCCUCACACCCCCAACCCCAAAAUAAUGAUCAAUAUCAAAGCUAUCCUGCCGUGUAGUUCCAGAUUCCAGCUCAGACGAGGAAGUGGAAGUCCUACAUGGAUCUAUUUGUCUGUGAGUGGAUGAUCAGAAUGGGGCGGAGCAGGGAGCUUGUGGCCCCACCCAGUGUAUAUUCUAUAUGUCAAAUAUGUUUUUUUUCCAAUGAAAUAUUUUUGUCUGCUUGUAAUUCACUAUGAUUUGAAUUAAAAAAUCCUCAGAAA